RNAcentral lists this unclassified non-coding RNA (5529 nucleotides) under Hevea brasiliensis (rubber tree). The record is from RNAcentral. Lineage: Eukaryota; Viridiplantae; Streptophyta; Magnoliopsida; Malpighiales; Euphorbiaceae.
GACAACACAAAAGAUAAAUCUCUAAGUAGUAGAAGCAUAAUUAAUCACCAUCUUCUAUUAAAGAUUUCACUCCUCCACUGUUUGGCUUUGGCUGAUUCCAUCAUCAUCAGCUGUGAGGAGCAUCGGCGAAAGCAAGAAGAAACAAUCUCUAGAAGGAGAAACUGAAAAUUUCUUCAUAUUCAGGUCUUCGAUUCUCUCAUCGAAGCCCGAUAUACAACAAUUCUUUGGGCUGAAUAGUUUUUGAACGGGUUCUUGAUAACAAUCUGAGAUACUAAACAAAAGACAAUGGCAAAUAGGGGGCAAAAGCGGGUGGAAAUAAUUGAUGAAUUGCCAGCAGAUAAGAGAGCUUGUAGUUCAUUGGAGUUUAGACCAAGUUCGUCCAACUCUUCAAUUCAGACCCAAAUAAAUUCCGCAAAUUCCACCCCUGAAACCAAUGAUGCUGAAACCCACAAUGUUGAUAUGGAUACUUCGUCCUCUGGUUCAGCUUCAAGCAGGUCAGAGGAGGAAGAACAUGAGAGGGAUUCAACUCAUGACUCUUGUGAUUCUGAUGAUGCAGUACCAAAACACAGCAGUGUGCGAAGUUAUCAAAGGCAGAGAUCAUUUGGUGAUCAUGGCAGAUUGAGGAGUGCUUUGUCCCAUUUAAGUGAAGGGACCGAGCCUUCAGGGCAAUUAGCUGCUCUUACAGAAUUGUGUGAAGUGCUUUCAUUUUGUUCUGAAGAUUCUCUUUCUAGUAUGAUGGCUGACUCGUUAUCCCCAGUACUUGUUCAGCUUGCAAGGCAUGAGAGCAACCCAGAUAUAAUGUUGUUGGCUAUAAGGGCUUUAACUUAUCUUUGUGAUGUGUUUCCUAGAGCAUCUGGUUUUCUUGUUAGACAUGAUGCGGUUCCUGUUCUUUGUCAAAGAUUAAUGGCCAUUGAGUACUCAGACAUAGCUGAAGAGUGCUUGCAAGCAUUGGAGAAAAUAUCACGGGAACAACCACUUGCAUGCCUACAGGCUGGGGCUAUCAUGGCUGUUCUACGUAUUAUUGACUUCUUCUCGACAAGUGUACAAAGAGUUGCACUUUCAACAGUGGUCAAUAUAUGUAAGAAAGUUCCAGCAGAAUGCGCUUCUCCUUUCAUGGAGGCUGUUCCAAUAUUAUGCAAACUUCUACAGUAUGAGGAUCAACAGCUUGUUGGGAAUGUAGUUAUUUGCUUGAUGAAAAUAGCAGAGCGAGUCAGUCAGUCUUCUGAGAUGCUGGUUGAACUAUGCAAGCAUGGAAUAGUUAAUCAAGCUAUGCAUCUAAUACACUUGAAUAGCCGGACCACACUAUCACAACCGAUAUACAAUGUACUGGCAUUUAUCUGAAUUACAUUAUUUACAUUGACAUUUUAAUGCCUCUGAAAAAUUGUUUGCUUUUUUUCAUUUUGUUGGCAGGGUCUGAUUGGGCUACUUGUCAGACUUUCUUCUGGUUCAAUUGUGGCUUUCAGGACUCUUCAUGAGCUCAAUAUAAGCUGCACUUUGAAGGACAUAUUAGCUACUUAUGACAUCUCACAUGGAAUAUCUUCUCUCCAUGCGGUAGAAGGGCAGAGCAACCAGGUACAUGAAGUUCUGAAAUUGCUAAAUGAGCUUCUUCCUCCAGUAGCAAGGGAUCAAGAUGUUCAACAAGAAAUGUCAGAUAAGGAAUCAUUUUUAGUUAAUCACCCUGAUCUUUUGCAUAAGUUUGGGUCUGAUAUACUACCCACGUUAAUCCAGGUGGUUAAUUCUGGUGCAAAUUUAUAUGUUUGCUAUUGCUGCGUAUUAGUCAUAAAAAAGUUGGUUUAUUUCAGCAAAUCUGAAAUGCUUGCUGAAUUACUUGAGAAUGCAAACAUUUCAAGUUUUUUGGCUGGAGUAUUUACGCGGAAGGAUCAACAUGUGUUGAUAUUAGCCCUGCAAAUUGCUGAGAUAAUUUUGCAAAAACUUUCAGGUGUUUUCCUGAAUUCUUUCAUUAAGGAAGGUGUCUUUUUUGCCAUUGAUGCCCUUAUGAUCCCAGAAAAAUGUUCACAGUCAAUUUUCCCAGUAUUUAAUGGCAUCCAGUUGCCUUCAGACUCAAGCCAAAAGUUUGUAUCUAAGGUCGUACUAAGAUGCUUAUGUUAUGCAUUUGAUGCUGGUCAGUCUCCUAUAGCCUCAGAAGCAGGAACAUGCAAGCUUGAAAAGGAUGAUGUUCAAAGUCUUGCGAAGCAUAUAAAAACCACAUACUUUGCUCCAGAAUUAUGUGACUCUGAGAAUGGGUUGACAGAUAUCCUUCAAAAUCUCAGAGCUCUUUCUGCUUUGUUGAGUGAUCUGAUGAAUAUGCCUGUAAGUUCUGAUGCUUCCACUCAUGAUGAAGAAAAGUUUUAUUGUUUAUUACAUCAAGUUAUGGAAAAGCUUAAUGGAAGAGAACCUGUCUCUACUUUCGAAUUUAUUGAAAGUGGAAUUGUGAAGUCAUUAGUAAAUUGCAUAUCCAAUGGUCAGUAUCUGAGAGAAAAGGUGAAUUUUCAUGGUAGUUCUGACCAUUAUUAUCAUAUAGGAAAAAGAUUUGAGGUGUUUGCUAGGCUUUUUUCAUCUUAUUCAAGCCUUGAUGAAGUGUCACCGGUAUCACUUUUAAUACAGAAAUUGCAAAGUGCAUUAUCUUCUUUGGAGAAUUUCCCUGUUAUUUUGAGCCAUUCAUCCAAGCAAAGAAACUGGUUUGCUACUGUUCCUAAUGGACGCUGCAUGCCUCAGCCAUGUCUGAGAGUUCGUUUUGUGAGGGGAGAGGGGGAGAUGUGUCUUUGUGACUACUCUGAUGAUGCUGUCACUGUCGACCCUUAUUCUUCUUUGGAUGCUGUUCAAGAAUUUUUGUUGCCUAAAGUUAGAAUCGAAAAAACCAAUCCAAUAGAAACAGCUGCUUUAGCCAUGGAUCCAAUGGAAAGUGUACAGCUUCAAAUUCCAUCAAAUGUGAACCCUGGGCCUGGACAAGGUGAAAGUUCAGGUCGUGUGGAGCCUGACAACAUGUCUACUGAUUUGACUGAGAUUCAGGAAGAUGAGGCUAAAUUAUCAGAGUCUCCCCUGGGACAAGCAGAAAAUUUACAACAGAGAAAUCCUGGUGAAACUACAUUUUCAAAUGAUAGUCAUCUUGCCUCUGUAGAGAAGCUAGUACAAGAUCCUUCUGCGGAAGACAUGAGUAGACAAAGUCAGUAUCCUCCAUCCUCUAGCAAUGGUGAUGCUUUUUCAAAACUAGCAUUUUACCUAGAAGGGCAAGAGUUGGACCGGGCUUUGACAUUGUAUCAGGCAGUUCUCCAACAGAAAAUUAAAGCAGACCAUGAAAUUAAUAUGGGGGCAAAGCUAUGGAGUCAAGUAUACAUUCUGACUUAUAGAAUAGCUGUAGAACCUAAAGAUGAUAACCCUCAAAAAUGUCAUAUUUCAGCGCAAGAUUCUUUUGCAUUGGAUAAAAUUGAGGCUUAUAUGCAGAAUACUUCUCUUUUCACUAACAUAUUUAAUUGUGAACUUUCUUCUGACUUGGAUAAGUCAAGUCCUACUUAUGAAGUUUUGUUUUUACUUAAAAGUUUGGAAGGCUUGAACAGGUUUACAUUUCAUCUGAUGUCUCAUGAAAGAAUACAUUCAUUUGCUGAAGGACUAGUUGAUAACUUGGAUAAUUUAAAAGUAGAAGUUCAUUCAGUCUCACAGAAUGAGUUUGUGAGCAGUAAGUUGACAGAAAAACUGGAGCAGCAGAUGCGGGAUUCUUUGGCUUUGUCUGUAGGUGGUAUGCCAUUGUGGUGUAAUCAGCUUAUGGCUUCAUGCCCCUUUUUAUUUAGCUUUGAGGCAAGAUGUAAAUACUUCCGGUUGUCAGCAUUUGGACCUCAGUUAGUUCAACCUCAGACACUAUCAAAUAAUAAUUCAGGAGUUCCAAGAGACGGGCGAUCAAGUCCUGGUAGUUUGCCCCGUAAGAAAUUUGUAGUUUGGCGUGACCGAAUACUGGAAUCUGCUGCCCAAAUGAUGGACCUUUAUGCUCAUGUCAAAGUUCCCAUUGAAGUGGUGUAUAAUGAAGAAGUUGGUAGCGGUCUUGGUCCCACAUUGGAAUUUUAUACCCUGGUCAGUCAUGAGUUUCAGAAGUCUGGCAUUGGCAUGUGGAGAGAGGAUCAUAGUUCAUUUCUGGACAGGAAAGGAUUGCAGACUGAGGAUUCUGGAAUUCUGAUGUCUCCUUUUGGCCUUUUUCCUCGUCCAUGGCCAUCCAGUUUGGAUUCAUCUGAUGGGAUACAGUUUUCUGAAGUCAUUAAAAAGUUUGUCCUCUUGGGGGAAGUUGUAGCAAAGGCUCUUCAAGAUGGAAGGGUCUUGGAUCUGCCAUUCUCAAAAGCCUUCUAUAAGCUUAUCCUUCAGCAGGAACUUAGUCUGUACGACAUUCAGUCCUUUGAUCCUGGGCUGGGCAGGACACUGUUAGAGUUUCAGGCCUUGGUUAAUAGGAGAAAAUUUUUGAAAUCAGCUUUAGAAGAAAACUCGUGUAACACUGUAGAUGCAUGCUUUCGGAAUACUAGAAUUGAGGAUCUUUGUCUUGACUUUACUCUUCCUGGCUAUCCUGAUUACAUUCUUCACCAAGAUCACAAAAUGGUAAAUAUGGAUAACUUGGAGGAGUAUGUAUCUCUUGUUGUGGAUGCUACUAUAUAUGCUGGAAUUUCCAGACAAGUUGAAGCCUUCAAGUCUGGAUUUAAUAAGGUUUUUCCAAUCAAGCAUCUUCAGAUUUUCAUUGAGGAGGAAUUAGAGAGAUUGCUAUGUGGAGAACGUGAUUUUUGGGCUUUUAAUGAGCUGUUGGAUCAUAUCAAAUUUGAUCAUGGAUAUGCUGCUAGCAGUCCUCCAAUCACUAAUUUACUGGAAAUCAUCCGAGAGUUUAGUCAAGAACAGCGGCGAGCAUUUCUGCAGUUUGUAACUGGGGCACCUCGGCUUCCUCCAGGAGGUUUGGCAUCUUUGAAUCCAAAACUGACAAUUGUCCGGAAGCAUUGUAGCAAUUACGUGGAUGCAGAUCUACCCAGUGUAAUGACAUGUGCUAAUUACCUGAAGUUGCCACCUUACUCUUCAAAGGACAAGAUGAAAGAGAAGCUUUUGUACGCCAUAACAGAAGGACAAGGGUCAUUCCAUCUUUCAUAGUUUCACUGCUACAUAGAUUGUGAAUUUGUAAUUAUUAGCAUAGGUGCUUUUGUACAGGGAAAAGAAAGAAUGAAUGCCUGGUGAGUGGUCGGAAUUGAUGAAGGUAGGAAACGACGACUGAUUAUUAUGGAACAAGAGGAAGCUCCUUGUCUUCACUGACUAUGCAUUUGGUGGGAUGUGUACAUAGGGUUGAGAUACAGUUAGUUGAUUCACAGAAGUUGGGAAGUUGUACAGAAUAUCUUUAUCAUUGGAUGGACUGGCUUUCCAACAUUCCUUGUACAAAUCAGUGUACAGAUAUCUUUACCAUGGAAGAAUCUGCUCAGACAGUUUCGGAUAUUAGUAUUUAAUUAACAUAUUGCUAAUGUUAUUGACAAAGUUGUUUACAGAAUGCAUGGGGUCUUUUCUUUUAGCUAUUCAUUU